This is a long non-coding RNA of Alnus glutinosa, 2584 nucleotides long. RefSeq lists it as uncharacterized. Lineage: Eukaryota; Viridiplantae; Streptophyta; Magnoliopsida; Fagales; Betulaceae. The record is from RefSeq and is a predicted model, not a curated record. The transcript is spliced from 5 exons.
GCCACUUUCUUCUUCUUCAUUUCAUUUUUCCUUUUUCUUUCUCUUUUCUUCUCCUUUCUCACGCACCCACCAGCCUCCUUCUACCUUUCAUUUUAUUUCUUCUUCCUUUCUUUCUCUCUUCUCCCCAUUUCUUCUUGAUUUUUCUGCACACCAGCCCGGGAGAGAAAGUGAGAGGCUGAGAUGAGAGGAGAGACCCGAGUAGGACCCGGUACCUCUGGAGGUCCGGCCGGCGGCUGUUCAACGAUGGUCGGCGCCGGCAAAGCUAAUGGUUCGAAUUCCGGCGGAUUGGAGGUGCGAAAUCCGAUGAACUUCCGGUGGUUUUUGAGCUCUGUUUUAAUAGGAUAGUGUCCGGAUUGGAGACUUAAAUGGGUCCUCUAAUGUAGAGUUCGAGUCAUGAGUCCAAUGCAGCCAAUAUGAUGUUUCUUUGGCUGCAGGUAUUCCGGUCGUAGUAUAUGGUGUUGUAGAAGUAUACUGAGAAUAUUAUGACUGAAGCUCAACGCGACGGUUGUAAUGUGUUAGACCGCGGAAUGUCUAUUCCUUUAGGUAUUUUGAUUAUGGCUUGUGACGCUUGUGCCACAUGAUCUUUGUUAAGCCAUUUAUGUUUUGUAUUUAAUUCAAGGAAAGAUUUAAUCAUAUAGUUAUUUAAUGGCUCUUUGUUGUAAUUAUUUGUGAUAGAUGUAUAAGAUGUGAUUUCCGCUAUUAGGUUAUGUUUUCCGCUGCAUAGUUGAUAGAUGUUAUACUCUGAUUUGCUAGGUACAUAUUAUGGAGUAUGUACACAUGUUGGCUUUGCGACAUAUCGUCGUGCCACUGUGAAGAUCCGUUUAUAUUUUAAGGAAUUAAUGAUUAUGUGAAUGUUUUGUAUAAAAAAAAAAAAAAAAAGGGGUCGUCACAGGAGCUUUCUCUAUAGAUAAGUGUUUGAGCAGCAGCCGAGACCUAUUUGAACUGGUAUAAUUUGGACAAGUGACUAUUAGAAUGUCCUUAUCUAGCCCACCUGUCCAGACAUGUUCGAAUAACCAUUUUAAUACCAAAAUUAUGUCGUUUUGGAUUAAGUAUAUGUUAUGUUUACAUUAGUUUGGUUGGCUAUGUUGAAUUCUUUUGUAACACUUGACAAAAAGACAAAAGUAAUGUAAAAUUGUAAGGACCAAGAAAAUAAAUAGGGAGUUUAGCAUUUUAUAAUUUAUAUUUUAUUAAAUUGAUGGGACUAAUAAUAAAUCCUAAGUAGAUAAAAUGCUAUGAUUGGAAUAAAAUGGAUUUAAGAGAAAGUAAUAUAAUUUGAAUAAUAAAAUACUAAUGAGUCAUUGGGUAAUAAAUAAUUAAUUGUACGGGUAUAAUAUAGUUAUAUUAAAUGUUAGGGUUUGAUAUUAAUUUUUAAAUGAUAGAAAUAUUAUAUGGUGGGGGUCCUGAUGUAAUUAAUGGAAGUUGAAGUUUUUAUUAAUAAAGAGAAUCUAUCCCUGUCACGUGGCUUUACCCAAUUGGCUGGAGUGGAUUUCACUAUUUCCCCCAACCACUCACAAGGUGCCACGUGUCCCUUAUCAUUUUCUUUUCCUCCCUCUUCCUCCCUCACGCACGGAUCCUUCUCCUUCUUCCUUUUCCUUCUUCCUUCUCUUUUCUUCUUCUUUCUUCGGUCUUCUUCUUCGCAUGCCCGAACGACCCACAGAGAGAGGUGCCGAGAGACUGAGGAGAGAUCGGAGAGAGAGUUUCAGAGGGAGACCGAGAGACUCGGAGUGAGAGAGAGAGAGAGACGAGAUGAGACAGAGAGAGGGGGAGAGUCAGAGAUCGGGAGAGAGUGAACCGGCGAGCCCGGAACCCAGGGAACGCGGGCGACUCGAUUUUCGGCCGAUGCUACCGGUGGAUCUACUCCGGUGGUGCCUAGGACGCGAGACCCGACGAACCCAGGAGCUUGGACCCGCGACCCGUGAGCCAAACCCGAUGAAUUCGGGAGAACCUGUGUGACCCGACCCUUCCGGAGGUCUGAUCCUCCACGUCCGGCAGUCCCGGUAGCUGUUUCUGGUGAGCCCGUGACCCGUGUGUGCAACCCAGCCGAACCCCGAAGCCCCGUGACCUAGAACCCGAACCUAUGACCCGCUGAACCCGGAAGAAGACCCGGUUUUAUAGGUGUUUUCCGACGGUUUUCUGGCGACUGCCAGUGGCGUUUUCCGGCAGAUUUAUUGAGGAAAAUCCCCAAGGAUCAUGUUCGGAUUGGAGACUUUAAUUGGUUCUCCAAUGUAGAGUCCAAGUGACUAGAGUCCAAGGAGUGUUCGAGUUGGAGUCCAAUGCAGCCAAGAUGAUGUUUCUUUGGCUGCAGGUACUUCGGUAUAGUCGAUGGGUCGGUAGCAGUGUGCUUGGGAUAUUAUGACUGAAGCUCGCCGCGACAGUUGUAAUUGUCGGACCACGGGUUGUCCACUAUUUUAUAGGUUUGGUAUGGCUUGUGACGUUUGUGUCACUUAUUCUUUGUUAAGCCAUUAUUGUUAUAGUGUUAAUAAGACUCAAACAGAUAGAUGUUAAAUGGCUCUUUGUUGUAAUUAACUUGUGAUAGAUGUAUAAGUUGUAAUUUCCGCUAUUCAGAUUUAUGUUUUCCGCUGCA